This 671-nucleotide ribosomal RNA is filed under the name Huea sp. s269. Its description in RNAcentral is "eukaryotic LSU rRNA". The stretch from base 262 to 415 matches the Rfam family "5.8S ribosomal RNA". The record is from RNAcentral. Lineage: Eukaryota; Fungi; Ascomycota; Lecanoromycetes; Teloschistales; Teloschistaceae.
UUUUUAGAAGUAAAAGUCGUAACAAGGUUUCCGUAGGUGAACCUGCGGAAGGAUCAUUACCGAGAGAGGGGCUUCGCGCUCCCGGGGGCUUCGGUCCCCACCUCUUCAACCCUUUGAAUACCAACCUUCGUUGCUUUGGCGGGCCCUGGAGGUUUCCCCAGCGCGGCCCCGGGUUCAUCCCCGGGGAUCACGAGCGCCCGUCGGAGACCCUAAAAACGCUGUUUUUCUAUUGACGUCUGAGUUUACAACCAAAUCAAUCAAAACUUUCAACAACGGAUCUCUUGGUUCUGGCAUCGAUGAAGAACGCAGCGAAAUGCGAUAAGUAAUGUGAAUUGCAGAAUUCAGUGAAUCAUCGAAUCUUUGAACGCACAUUGCGCCCCUUGGUAUUCCGAGGGGCAUGCCUGUUCGAGCGUCAUUGCAUCUCUCAAGCUCCGCUUGGUAUUGGGCGUUCGUCCCCCGCUUCUUGGGGGGGGUCGCGCCCGAAAAAUAAUGGCCGUCCAGGGGUAGGAUAUCCUGCGUAGUAGCGAUUGCGUGUUCCUUCGGGGCCCGCUUUGAACCGCAGCGGAAAACCACCCUUGCGACCCGCCGGGGCGAAUUCGUCCCCGAACACUCUCCAAUGAUUGACCUCGGAUCAGGUAGGGAUACCCGCUGAACUUAAGCAUAUCAAUAGC